Molecule: ribosomal RNA, 253 nt
Filed under: uncultured bacterium
Lineage: Bacteria
Description: partial 16S ribosomal RNA
Rfam family: Bacterial small subunit ribosomal RNA
Source: RNAcentral
AACGUAGGAGACAAACGUUAUCCGGAGUUACUGGGCGUAAAGGGCGUGUAGGUGGUUUAGUAAGUCUGGCGUGAAAUUUUUCGGCUUAACCGGGAAAGGUCGUCGGAUACUGCUGAGCUAGAGGACGGUAGAGGCGUGUGGAAUUCCGGGUGUAGUGGUGAAAUGCGUAGAGAUCCGGAGGAACACCAGUGGCGAAGGCGACACGCUGGGCCGUACCUGACACUGAUGCGCGACAGCAUGGGGAGCAAACAGG